Molecule: ribosomal RNA, 204 nt
Filed under: Glomus sp. (unid)
Lineage: Eukaryota; Fungi; Glomeromycota; Glomeromycetes; Glomerales; Glomeraceae
Source: RNAcentral
CAGUCGUGACUGAGAGGCUCAGCCGGUUCUGCCGGUGUAUUCCCCUCAGUCGGGUCAACAUCAGUUUUGUUCGGUGGAUAAGGGCAGCUGGAAGGUGGCACCUCCGGGUGUGUUAUAGCCAGCUGUCGCAUACAUCGAAUGAGACUGAGGAAUGUAGCUUCGAUCUCGUAUUGAAGUGUUAUAGUCCUUUGGUAGAUGUGAUGA